This 231-nucleotide ribosomal RNA is filed under the name uncultured bacterium. RNAcentral's name for it is "partial 16S ribosomal RNA". It matches the Rfam family "Bacterial small subunit ribosomal RNA", at positions 118 to 346 of the family's 1533-position model. The record is from RNAcentral.
UGAGGAACAUGACCUUCGGCGGGGGAUAGCCGGCCCAACGGCCGGGUAAUGCCGCGUACGACCACAUGGGGACAUCCCUGAGUGGUGAAAGCAGCAAUGCGCCGAUGGAGUGCCUCGCGGCCUAUCAGCUAGUUGGUGAGGUAACGGCUCACCAAGGCGACGACGGGUAGCUGGUCUGAGAGGAUGGCCAGCCACAUUGGGACUGAGACACGGCCCAGAUCCCGUACGGGG